AACGAACGCUGGCGGCAUGCCUAACACAUGCAAGUCGAACGAGAUCUUCGGGUCUAGUGGCGCACGGGUGCGUAACGCGUGGGAAUCUGCCCUUUGGUUCGAAAUAACAGUUGGAAACGACUGCUAAUACCGGAUGAUGACGAAAGUCCAAAGAUUUAUCGCCAGAGGAUGAGCCCGCGUAGGAUUAGCUAGUUGGUGUGGUAAAGGCGCACCAAGGCGACGAUCCUUAGCUGGUCUGAGAGGAUGAUCAGCCACACUGGGACUGAGACACGGCCCAGACUCCUACGGGAGGCAGCAGUGGGGAAUAUUGGACAAUGGGCGAAAGCCUGAUCCAGCAAUGCCGCGUGAGUGAUGAAGGCCUUAGGGUUGUAAAGCUCUUUUACCCGGGAUGAUAAUGACAGUACCGGGAGAAUAAGCGCCGGCUAACUCCGUGCCAGCCGCCGCGGUAA
RNAcentral lists this ribosomal RNA (449 nucleotides) under uncultured bacterium. Its description in RNAcentral is "partial 16S ribosomal RNA". It matches the Rfam family "Bacterial small subunit ribosomal RNA", at positions 29 to 523 of the family's 1533-position model. The record is from RNAcentral.